This 1101-nucleotide ribosomal RNA is filed under the name Phytophthora acaciae. Its description in RNAcentral is "partial 28S ribosomal RNA". The record is from RNAcentral. Lineage: Eukaryota; Oomycota; Peronosporomycetes; Peronosporales; Peronosporaceae.
GGCGAAUUGUAGUCUAUAGAGGCGUGAUCAGUGUGGGCGCUKGGGGCAAGUUCCUUGGAAGAGGACAGCAUGGAGGGUGAUACUCCCGUUCCUCCCUGAGUGGCUCGUGCGUACGAUCCGUUUUCUUUGAGUCGCGUUGUUUGGGAAUGCAGCGCAAAGUAGGUGGUAAAUUCCAUCUAAAGCUAAAUAUUGGUGCGAGACCGAUAGCGAACAAGUACCGUGAGGGAAAGAUGAAAAGAACUUUGAAAAGAGAGUUAAAGAGUACCUGAAACUGCUGAAAGGGAACCGGAUCGUUUCCAGUGUCUAUAAUCUGUGGCAUAUUUCAUUGGCGAGUGUUUGUGUGCGUGUGCUGUGGCAGUGGCUUUUUUGGCUGCGCCUGGUGUGUGUGUGCGAGUGUUUGCUGGUGCCCUGUGCUGUGGUGGGACGUCAAGGUCAGUUCGUAUGCUGCGGGAAAUGGCUGCUGAGGAGGUAGGGCUUACGCUUGCGUUUGUCUAUUAUAUCUUGGCGGACGAGUCGUCGUGGUUGGGACUGAGGUGCCUACAACGUGCUUUUGAGUGUGUCUGUGUCUCUGUGUGCGCCGUGUGCAGAUAGCUUGCUAUGUGUGUGUGGUUGUGUGUGGAUUGAUGCGGGCUUUAACUUGUCGCCGUUCGGGACGUUGACGAAAUGGAGCGAUCUGACCCGUCUUGAAACACGGACCAAGGAGUCUAACAUGUGUGCAAGUGUUAGGGUGUGGAAACCCCAGCGCGAAAUGAAAGUGAAGGGCAGCGCAAGUUGUCUGAGGUAGGAAAUGCUGUGGGCUUCGGUCUGCGGUGUGGCACUAUCGACCGAUCAUGAACCUUCGUGGUGAAAGAUUUGAGUUUGAGCACAUAUGUUGGUACCCGAAAGAUGGUGAACUAUGCCUGAGUAGGGUGAAGCCAGGGGAAACUCUGGUGGAAGCUCGUAGCGAUUCUGACGUGCAAAUCGAUCGUCAAACUUGGGUAUAGGGGCGAAAGACUAAUCGAACCAUCUAGUAGCUGGUUCCCUCCGAAAUUUCCCUCAGGAUAGCAGCAACUUAUUUACGAUAGUUUUAUGAGGUAAAGCGAAUGAUUAGAGGAUUCGGGG